CGGGGGGGGCAAGCGUUGUUCGGAAUUACUGGGCGUAAAGGGUGCGUAGGCGGCUCUCUAAGUCGGAUGUGAAAACUCUGGGCUCAACCCAGAGCCUGCAUCCGAAACUGGAGAGCUAGGGUUCUGGAGGGGAAAGCGGAAUUCCUGGUGUAGCGGUGAAAUGCGUAGAUAUCAGGAGGAACACCGGUGGCGAAGGCGGCUUUCUGGACAGAUACCGACGCUGAGGCACGAAAGCUAGGGGAGCAAACAGGAUUAGAUACCCUGGUAGUCCUAGCCCUAAACUAUGGAUACUUGCUGUGGGGGGGAUUGAAGCCCCUUGUGGCGAAGCUAACGCAUUAAGUAUCCCGCCUGGGGAGUACGGUCGCAAGGCUG
RNAcentral lists this ribosomal RNA (372 nucleotides) under uncultured organism. RNAcentral's name for it is "bacterial SSU rRNA". It matches the Rfam family "Bacterial small subunit ribosomal RNA", at positions 526 to 896 of the family's 1533-position model. The record is from RNAcentral.